GUGAGGAAUAUUGCGCAAUGGAGGCAACUCUGACGCAGCCAUGCCGCGUGCAGGAAGAAGGCGCUACGCGUUGUAAACUGCUUUUAACCGGGAAGAAACCCCAGGACGUGUCCUGGGUUGACGGUACCGGAGGAAUAAGCACCGGCUAACUUCGUGCCAGCAGCCGCGGUAAUACGAAGGGUGCAAGCGUUAUCCGGAUUCAUUGGGUUUAAAGGGUGCGUAGGCGGAGCGUUAAGUCAGUGGUGAAAUCCUGCAGCUUAACUGUAGACUUGCCAUUGAUACUGGCGCUCUUGAGUGCGCUUGAAGUGGGCGGAAUGUGCCGUGUAGCGGUGAAAUGCUUAGAUAUGGCACAGAACACCAAUUGCGAAGGCAGCUUACUGGGAUGCAACUGACGCUGAGGCACGAAAGCGUGGGGAUCAAACAGGAUUAGAAACCCCAGUAGUCC
Molecule: ribosomal RNA, 445 nt
Filed under: uncultured bacterium
Lineage: Bacteria
Description: partial 16S ribosomal RNA
Rfam family: Bacterial small subunit ribosomal RNA
Source: RNAcentral